Molecule: non-coding RNA, 851 nt
Organism: Myotis lucifugus (little brown bat)
Lineage: Eukaryota; Metazoa; Chordata; Mammalia; Chiroptera; Vespertilionidae
Source: the annotation of a RefSeq genome assembly
GUUUCAUACACCAAUCCGAGUCUUCACCAUCCCCCCGACCUUCGCCAGCAUCUUCCUCACCAAGGAGGCCACGCUGUCCUGCCUGGUCACGGACCUGGCCACCUAUGACAGCCUGAGCAUCUCCUGGACCCGCCAGAAUGGCGAGGAGGUGAAAACCCACAUCAACAUCUCUGAGAGCCACCCCAACGCCACCUUCAGUGCCACAGGAAAGGCCACAGUGUGCGUGGAGGACUGGGAGUCGGGCGAGAAGUUCACCUGCACGGUGUCCCACACGGACCUGCCCUCGCCAGUGAAGCACACCAUCUUCAAGCCCAAGGGAGUCGCCAAGCACAUGCCCUCGGUGUACGUGCAGCCGCCCAGCCGGGAGCAGCUGAGCCUGCGGGAGUCGGCCUCGGUCACCUGCCUGGUGAAGAGCUUCUCGCCCCCAGACGUGCAUGUGCAGUGGCUGCAGAGAGGGCAGCCCGUGUCCUCCGACAUGUAUGUGACCAGCGCCCCAGUGCCAGAGCCCCAGGCCCCCGGCUUGUACUUCGCCCACAGCAUCCUGACCGUGAGUGAGGAGGACUGGAGCGCCGGGGAGACCUACACCUGCGUCGUGGCCCACGAGGCCCUGCCGUACUCGGUGACCGAGAGGACCGUGGACAAGUCCACCGGUAAACCCACCCUGUACAACGUGUCCCUGGUCAUGUCUGACGUGGCCAGCACCUGCCACUGACCCCAGGCUGCCCCUCAAGGGCGGUCCGGAGCCUCUGGCUGACCUGUCACUGUGUGUGCAUGUAUGCAAACUGGCUGUGUCAAUGGGGUGGGGUGUUGCAUUCUAUAAAAACUAGAAAUAAAAAGAUCCAUUCAAAAGA